Molecule: ribosomal RNA, 253 nt
Filed under: uncultured bacterium
Lineage: Bacteria
Description: partial 16S ribosomal RNA
Rfam family: Bacterial small subunit ribosomal RNA
Source: RNAcentral
GACAGAGGGGGCAAGCGUUGCUCGGAAUCACUGGGCGUAAAGGGCGCGUAGGCGGCGUGACAAGUCACUUGUGAAAUCUCUGAGCUUAACUCAGAACGGCCAAGUGAAACUGUUGUGCUAGAGUGCAGAAGGGGCAAUCGGAAUUCUUGGUGUAGCGGUGAAAUGCGCAGAUAUCAAGAGGAACACCUGAGGUGAAGACGGGUUGCUGGGCUGACACUGACGCUGAUGCGCGAAAGCCAGGGGAGCAAACGGG